AUUGAACGCUGGCGGAAUGCUUUACACAUGCAAGUCGAACGGCAGCACGGGAGCUUGCUCCUGGUGGCGAGUGGCGAACGGGUGAGUAAUAUAUCGGAACGUAUCCAAUAAUGGGGGAUAACUAGUCGAAAGAUUAGCUAAUACCGCAUACGCCCUGAGGGGGAAAGCUGGGGAUCUUCGGACCUAGCGUUAGUGGAGCGGCCGAUAUCUGAUUAGCUAGUAGGUGAGGUAAAGGCUCACCUAGGCGACGAUCAGUAGCUGGUCUGAGAGGACGACCAGCCACACUGGAACUGAGACACGGUCCAGACUCCUACGGGAGGCAGCAGUGGGGAAUUUUGGACAAUGGGGGCAACCCUGAUCCAGCCAUUCCGCGUGAGUGAAGAAGGCCUUCGGGUUGUGAAGCUCUUUCGCAAGGGAAGAAAACUUACUUUCUAAUAAAGAGUGAGGUUGACGGUACCUUGAUAAGAAGCACCGGCUAACUACGUGCCAGCAGCCGCGGUAAUACGUAGGGUGCGAGCGUUAAUCGGAAUUACUGGGCGUAAAGCGUGCGCAGGCGGCCUGAUAAGUCAGAUGUGAAAUCCCCGAGCUCAACUUGGGAACUGCGUUUGAAACUAUCAAGCUAGAAUAUGUCAGAGGGGGGUAGAAUUCCACGUGUAGCAGUGAAAUGCGUAGAGAUGUGGAGGAAUACCAAUGGCGAAGGCAGCCCCCUGGGAUAAUAUUGACGCUCAUGCACGAAAGCGUGGGGAGCAAACAGGAUUAGAUACCCUGGUAGUCCACGCCCUAAACGAUGUCUACUAGUUGUUGGUGGAGUAAAAUCCAUGAGUAACGCAGCUAACGCGUGAAGUAGACCGCCUGGGGAGUACGGUCGCAAGAUUA
Molecule: ribosomal RNA, 876 nt
Filed under: uncultured bacterium
Lineage: Bacteria
Description: bacterial SSU rRNA
Rfam family: Bacterial small subunit ribosomal RNA
Source: RNAcentral